CAAGAUGGUCGAACGAAUCCAAGGCAAAGGCUUCAUAAAUGAGGUGGGUAUUCUAUCUCAAAUAAAUCAUCGUCAUGUGAUACAACUCUUGGGUUGCUGUUUGGAAACACAAGUGCCUUUACUAGUUUACGAGUUCAUCAACAAUGGCACCCUCUCUGACCACAUACAUGAUGAAAAUAAGGCAUCUGCUAUUAUGUGGGAAACUCGCUUAAGGAUUGCCAUCCAAACCGCGGAAGCACUCUAUUAUUUACAUUGUGUAGCAUCUACGCCUAUCGUUCAUAGAGAUGUUAAGUCUUCAAAUAUACUCUUAGAUGAGGAGUACAAUGCAAAGAUGUGUGACUUUGGAGCUUCAAGAUUGGUUCCAUUGGAUCAAAAUCAGUUAUCUACAGCUGUUCAGGGAACUCCUGGAUACUUAGACCCUGAGUCUUUGCAGACAAACCGAGUGACUGAGAAAAGCGAUGUUUAUAGUUUUGGAGUGGUCCUUGUAGAGCUACUCACAGGAAAGAAAGCACUGUUUUUUGAUAGACCCAAGGAGCAGAGAAUUCUAACUAUAUUUUUCCUCUUUCCCCUGAAAGAUGACAGCUUAUUUCAGGUUCUUGAGGAUUGUAUAGUGAACAAUGGAAACCAUAAGCAGAUUUUGAAAGUUGCUCAGCUUGCGCAAAGGUGCCUAAGCAUAAACGGGGAGGACAGACCCACAAUGAAGGAAGUAAUGUUGGAACUAGAGAUGAUAAGAAUGAUUGGGGAAAAUGCUGAACAGAAUCCAGAAGAAAAUACAUACUUGCUUGGAGAAUCAUAUGCUCACUACUAUUUGGGUGGUGGUGAAUCAUCCAUUGCUACACAUAGCAUGACGGGCAGUUUCUUGUUACCAGUAAGUGAUGCAAGAUAACAGUUUUCUGUGUGAUGGGACAAAUAAAGAAAAGUAGAGAAAGAUGGUGUACUGUUUUCUGUGUCCUGAUUAGUUAAAUAAGAUUGUGGGAAUAUUUGACUGUAUAUCUAUGGUUGUCUUAGUAAGUAAAACUUUAUCUCUGUUUUCUUUGUUAUUAGUCAGUGAAGUGUAAUACUUUUCACUAUUCCUUCAUACUGUAGUUGUGGCUCUAUAUAUAUAUUUCAUUAUUAAUCAAAGCAUUGAUCCACUAUAAUUAAAUAUGAGGGCAAGAGGUCUUCUUCAAGCUCAUAUAUUUUUAUUUAGUUUUCUUCAAUUUAAAAGGCCUUUCCAGUGUUUUUUCAUUAAUUUUAUGGUGAGCUUUUUUGCAUCUAAUAUGAAUAAGUGAGUAAAUUUGUUGUCUAAGGAGGAGUAUAUAGGACUCACUCCUUGAGAAUUUAAUGAACAUCUCUAUUUAGUUUUAAAUGUCAAACACUAGCUUUCAACCUUAGCCUUUAAUUUGUUCUCGGCCAUUUUGUAUGAUUCAAUACAGUAUAGCCUUAUAGCGUGUUCAAAUCGCUGGGCUGAUUGUUUUUGCAUUCCCCCUCCAUCCUACAAUGUCCAAAUACAUAAAAAUACCUUGGCCGCAAAUAGGAAAUCAAUGGAAGCCACAGCGCCUUGCAUAAGACUUUCUUUUGGCAGCUUAUAAUGUAUGGCAAUAAAAGAUAGAGGUACAGUAGGACAAGCCAUGCUCAUGAACAGCUAAUCAAUCAUUUGUCUCACUGAAAUGGUGAAGUCUUCAAACAAGGCAUCUGUCUUCAAAUCAUGAAUGCCAGUUAUCAGUAACCGUGGAUUGACCUGGUCAUGUGGUGGAUAUUUCAGUCAAGGACAAUAGGAUGAUUAAUGUACUCUGGGGACUCUGUUCCUGACCAUUUUGUAUCAUUCAGUGUCUUAUAGACUGUCUCUCUUCACACCUCCAAUGCCCUAGAAGGUCCAGACGCAUAAAAGUAGCUUGGGGGCGUAAAGAUGAAGAAGGGCAAGCCAUAGCCUUGCAUUACUUAAAAUGUACAGUGGGACAAUCCAUGCAUGCCCACUUCACUCAUAAUAUUUGCAUAAAUCAAAUAUUGAAGUCUUCAAACACGCCUUGGUCUUCAACGGUCCGACCUUGCUCCACGUUCAUUAAUACGAAUCCAAUUGACCAGGUAAACGCUUUUGGAAUCAAAUGUUGGUCUUAUCGGAGCUUACUUAAUGAGCAUUAGCCGUUGAUUUCAAUUUUAUUGUAUGAAUGUAAGAUCAGGAUUUCACUGUGUCUUGUGGAAUUGAUGAAGCUAGUCCUAAUGUUGGAUUGGAAACUUAACCUAUAGCCUUAAGCCUCAUUCUAAGGCCAAUAAUUUCACUAUUAUAAUAAUUUUUAUUAAUAAAAAUAAGUGAAGUUUUUAUUAAUUACUCUAAAGCUUUAAAUUUAAUUACCCUUUUGGGUGAUUCAAUGCUUUUUCUUAUUUAUAAUUUUGGAUAAUUUAUUAACUUAUUAAUUAUUCUAAAACUUUUUUUUUAUAUAUACUUUUUACUAUUACUAUGGACCCACAUUUUUAAAUAUGUCCCCACUCAAUGGCAAGAUUCGUUUUUUAUUUAUGAACAAACAAAUCUCAAAAAAGUUCUAGUAGCUACUUAUUUAAUUUUUUUCAAACAUUAAAUUAUAUUUUAUAAAGUGUAAUUAUAAUAAAUUGAGUUAAAAAAAUAUUUGAAAUGAUGAUAUGUAAAAAAAUUCUCCAUAAUCAUAAAAAAAUAAUAAUUUAUAUGUGAGUUUCAACAUGAUAAACUCAAAAAAAAAAAAAUUCUAGAAUAUUAAACUAUUGAUAUUCUAUGAAAUUGAUUUGUGGAGUUAUUAUAAUAAAAAUUAAAAGUUUACAGAUCGUAUAAGAAAAUAAAAACGUAUUUGAAGUGCGAAACCAAGAUAAGAACAUCACUCACUUGCAUCAUAUUGGUUCCACUACUAGCAUAUCUAAAAAUGAAAAACACUAAAAAAAAAAAAACAUAGAAAUGUAUAAUUCCCAAAUCCCUUAUGGUCAAUGUAAUCUAAAAAUCAAGACUAUUAUAUUCUAUAUAGUUUGUAAUGCAAGGUAAAAUACGAACAAAAGUAUCGAUGUUUUGACUCCUUUGCACGUGGGAAUUAAGCUAUUAUUAAAAUAAAAGUUUUUUUUUUCUUUUCUUUUAUUCAUUUUGAAGUUUUCUUUCAGUUUAUUUUCUUGGGAUUAAAAAAUGGGUAGCAUCAAAUGAUCUUUCUUCACAUUGACUCGCUGCCAACGACCCAUGAGUCGACACCAUGAAUGAACUUGUACCUUGCCAACUCAGAACUAUUAAUGAUCUUAAAGUCCCAAGCUAACUUUAAACUGUCUCCAACGUGAAAGACUUUAGUCUUUCCUAUGGAAUGACUUGGCCUCCUGAGAAAAAAAUUAUUUUCAUGGUAAAUUAUACGAUAUCAUACCAAAUUUUAAUAUUAGAUUUUUUUUUUUAUAAUUUGUAUGAUUAAAUUUAGAUUAUUGUAUAAACAUAUUAAAAGUGAUAUGAAGUUCCAAAAAAUAAAAAUAAAGUAAUAAAUAAAUAAUCUCUAGUUGUGCCUCAUAAUAUGGCUAGGGAAAUAAAUCACCUCAAAUCAAAUCAAAGUAAAGUAGUUUUUGAAUGAUGAAAGAAAGACAAAUAUGGUUUUUAAGAUUUACAUGAAGCCUAAAAACCUUGUAAAAUAAAGUUCAAUCAUUCCUCAGAGACACACACAAAGAUGGAAAACAUGAUUUUUCAACUUGAAUUAAGUUUAUAAAGUGACUUGAGUAAAGGUAUGACUUAAGAGAAGUAUAUGGUUUUUAUAGACAAAUAGUCUAAAAACUGAAUUAAAUAAAGCCACCAAAAAUUAUGAUGAGAGCAAUAUCAUUGGUGGAGGAGGUUUUGGCACAGUUUAUAAAGGAACUUUAACCGAUGGUAGGAUUGUUGCAAUCAUGGAUUGAAAAAUCGGAAAAUGUCGCCGAUAUUUCGUCGAAAUAUCGGUUAUCGGGCGGCAUGGAAACGAUAAACGGCACCGAUUAUCGAUCGACGGAAAAAUCGGCCAAAAAUCGACAAAAUCGCCGAUAUAUCGGCGAAAUAUCGGUGAAGCACCGAAAAAUCGGAGAAAAAUCGCGAUAUUUCCUACCAGUCCAGCCCGCGCAGUUGUGUUUUUCAGCCUGGCUCAAAAAUCGUGGAUUUAGGGUUCGUGAAAUUUAAAUCCAAUGGCACAACAGCAAAGAGACCCCUAAAACAGAUCCAGAAAACACAGGGAGCAAAAGAAAAGCAAUUUUUUUGGUUUUCUUUGGGAGUUUUGAAUGGAUUUUCUCGGAAAUCAAACGAGGAUGAAUUUUCCCGGAAAUCGAAUGGGGAUGGAUUUUCUUGGGAAUCAAACGGGGGUUGCAAAAAAAAAAUUAAUAAUAACAUGAUUAGAUUAGUACCUGCGAGGAUUGAGAUUUGAGAGUAGCAGAGGAAAAUAGGGCUUUUUAGGGAUUCUCUCGCUGGAAGACACCUUCAGAAAAGGGUUCUUGAUGCCCGAGAGAGAAGUGGGUGCCUUUUUUAUUUUUUUUUUAUUUUUAGAUUUAGGGGAGAUAAAAAAAUAAAAAAUAAAAAAUAAAAAAAACAUGAGAACAAUUUUCUAUAAAUAAUUAUUAAUUUUCAACUUUUAUUUGGAUUAUUAAAUAAAUUUAUAUUAAUAAAAAAAGUUGUUAUCACAUUUUUUAAUAAAUUUUAAAAAUUAAAUCUCAAAUAAGAUAUUUUAUAUAAAUUAAUUUAAUUUAUCAUUUAAAAUAUAAUAAAAUAUGUAAAAAAAUCAUGAGAACAAUUUUCCACUCUCUAUAUAAAUAAUUAUUAAUUAUCAACCUUUAUUUUUAUUAUUAAAUAAAUUAAUAUUAAUAGAAAAAGUUAUUAUCACAUAUUUUUAAUAAAAUUUUAAAAAUUAAAUCUCAAAUAAGAUAUUUUAUAUAAAUUAAUUUAAUUUUUCAUUUAAAAUAUAAUAAAAUAUGUUUUAAUAAAAAUAUUUUAAAAAUUUUAAAAUAAAUACUGUCUUCAACAAGAUGAACUCCCUUCAUCUAAUAAUAUAUUGAAACUACAUCGAUAUCUUUCUUAGUAUAAGGACUAUUGCAAUCUCAUAUUUCUUAACUCAAUUUUAACUUUAUACACUUUCAAAAUUCAUAUAUAUUAUUUUUAAAAUUCAAAUAUCGAAUCUACCAAUAUAUCUCUAUUUACGAUAUUUUUCUUCUUAAUUAUAUAUAUAUCAAUUACACUUACAAGAUAACUUUAAAAUGUGUAUUCUUACUUAUGUUAUCAUUUUUUGAAGUUUUUUCAAGCAUUCCUAUUAAUUUUAAAUAAUUUUCACUCCAUCGAUAUUUAUGAAAAAAUAUCCACCGAUAUUUCUCCGAUAUUUCCGAUAUAUCCGUAAAAUUGAAGUACCGAUAUAUCCGUAAAAACCGAUAUUUCAAUCCUUGGUUGCAAUUAAGAAGUCCAAGAUGGUCGAACGAAUCCAAGGUAAAGACUUCAUAAAUGAGGUGGGUAUUCUAUCUCAAAUAAAUCAUCGUCAUGUGAUACAACUCUUGGGUUGCUGUUUGGAAACACGAGUGCCUUUACUAGUUUACGAGCUCAUUAACAAUGGCACCCUCUCCGACCACAUACAUGAUGAAAAUAAGGCAUCUGCUAUUAUGUGGGAAACUCGCUUAAGGAUUGCCAUCCAAACCGCGGAAGCACUCUAUUAUUUACAUUCUGUAGCAUCUUCGCCUAUCGUUCAUAGAGAUGUUAAGUCUACGAAUAUACUCUUAGAUGAGGAGUACAAUGCAAAGAUGUGUGACUUUGGAGCUUCAAGAUUGGUUCCAUUGGAUCAAAAUCAGUUAUCUACAGCUGUUCAGGGAACUCCUGGAUACUUGGACCCUGAGUCUUUGCAGACAUACCGAGUGACUGAGAAAAGUGAUGUUUAUAGUUUUGGAGUGGUCCUUGUAGAGCUACUCACAGGCAAGAAAGCACUGUUUUUUGAUAGACCCAAGGAGCAGAGAAUUCUAACUAUGUUUUUCCUCUUUGCCCUGAAAGAUGACAGCUUAUUUCAGGUUCUUGAGGAUUGUAUAGUGAACAAUGGAAACCAUAUGCAGAUUUUGAAAGUUGCUCAGCUUGCGAAAAGGUGCCUAAGCAUAAAAGGGGAGGACAGACCCACAAUGAAGGAAGUACUGUUGGAACUAGAGAUGAUAAGAAUGAUUGGGGAAAAUGCUGAACAGAAUCCAGAAGAAAAUACAUACUUGCUUGGAGAAUCAUAUGCUCACUACCAUUUGGGUGGUGGUGAAUCAUCCAUUGCUACACAUAGCAUGGCGAGCAGUUUCUUGUUACCAGUAAGUGAUGCAAGAUAACAGUUUUCUGUGUGAUGGGAAAAAUAAAGAAAAGUAGAGAAAGAUGGUGUACUGUUUGCUGUGUCCUGUUUAGUUAAAUAAGAUAGAAUAUAAAGAAAAAUAAAGUUCUGGGAAUAUUUUAUUGUAUAUCUAUGGUUGUCUUAGUAAGUAAAACUCAAUUUUAUGUAAGUUUUUAUCUCUGUUUUCUUUGUUAUUAGUCAGUUAAGUGUAAUACUUCAUACUGUAGUUGUGGCUAUAUAUAUAUUUCAUUAUUAAUCAAAGCAUUGAUCCACUAUGAUUAAAUAAGAGGGCAAGAGGUCUUCUUCAAGCUCAUAUAUUUGUAAUUAGUUUUCUUCAAUUUAAAUGGCCUUUCGAAUGUCUUUUCAUCAUUAUUAUUUUUUUUGUUUCUAGUAUGAAUAAGUGAGUAAAUUAAUUGUUGUCUAAGGAGUACAUAGGACUCACUCCUUGAGCAUUUAAUAAGCAUCUCGAUUUUGUUUUAAAUGUCAAACACUAGCUUUCAACCUUAGCCUUAAUUUGUUCUUGGCCAUUUUGUAUGAUUCAAUACAGUAUAGCCUUAUAGCGUGUUCAAAUCGCUGGGCUGAUUGUCCUUGCAUUCCCCUCCAUCCUACAAUGUCCAAACACAUAAAAAUACCUUGGCCGCAAUUAGGAAAUCAAUGGAAGCCACAGCGCCUUGCAUAAGACAAGCCAUGCUCAUGAUCAGCUAAUCGAUAAUUUGUUUCACUGAAAUGGUGAAGUCUUCAAACAAGGCAUCUGUCUCCAAAUAAUGAAUGAGAAUUGUCAGUAACAGUGGAUUGACCUGGUCAUGUGGUGGACAUUUCACUCAAGGACAAUAGGAUGAUUAAUGUACUCUGGGGACUUUGUUCCUGACCAUUUUGUAUCAAUGUUCAGUGUCUUAUAGAUUCUCUCUUCACACCUCCAAUGCCCUAGAAGCUCCAAACGCAUAGAAGUAGCUUGGGGGCGUGAAGAUGAAGAAGGGCAGCCAUAGCCUUGCAUUAAUUAAAAGGUACAGUGGGACAAGACAUGCAUGCCUACUUCAGUCAUAAUAUUUGCUUAAAUCAAAUAUUGAAGUCUUCAAACAAGUCUUGGUCUUCAACGGUCCGACCUUGCUCCACGUUCAUUAAUACGAAUCCAAUUGACCCAAUAAACGCUUUUGGAAUCAAAUGUUGGUCUUAUUGGAGCUUACUUGAUAAGCAUUAGCCGUUGAUUUCAAUUUUAUUGUUAGAAUGUAAGAUCAGGAUUUCAUUGUGUCUUGUGGAAUUAAUUAAGCUAGUCCUCAUGUUGGAUUGGAAAUUUAACCUAUAGGCUUAGCCUCAUUCUGAGGCCAAUAAUUUCACAAUUAUAAUAAUAUUUAUUAAUAAAAAUAAGUGAAGCUUUAUUAAUUACUCUAAAGCUUUAAUUGCCCUUUUGGGUAAUCCAGUGCUAUUUCUUAUUUAUAAUUUUAGAUAAUUUAUUAACUUAUUAAUUAUUCUACGACUUCCUUUUUUUUUUUUAAUAUUACUAUGAACCCACAUUUUUAAGUAUAUCAUCACUUGAUGGUGAGACUCGUUUUUUAUUUAUGAAAAAAUAGAUUUUUAAAAAAAUUGUAGUAGCUACUUAUUUUUGUUUAUUUUUAAAGGAAAAAAAACUAAGAAAUAAAACCCUAAAAUGACUUCUUUUUUGAAUGAAAAACAAAGUUUGUGAAAAGUGAGUCUAGAUCCGAGGGUCAUAUUAUUUAUUGAGAAGAUACCAUAAGAUAACAACCCUCUAAGUCCCAAAGAGGUUUCUACUAAACAAGUGGAGGGAACUAAGAUAAUUGAUCAAUAAACUAUGGAUACCAAAAAGCAAAUACGAAAAUACAAGAAGACAUGAUAAUUAUAAACAAGCAACUGGUGAUGAAUAUACGAGUUAUGUAUAUCUAAAAGCCAAAUUAAGGAUCAAAACCAAACUCAAGAGUACAACAUGCAUGUUAAAUAAACCAACCAAUCAAAGGUGGAAAGAAGCGUACAUCAAUAUUGCCCAAAACAAGGGCAACGAACGAGCCAAGAAUCUCCUCUCAAGUGAAAAACUUGGUUUCUAGUAUCGUAAAGCCUCAUCUUUAAGCCAUGUCUUCUUGAUAUCCCAAUGUUUCUCUUCAUUUUCCACUCCCAACAUUUGGAUAGAGUUUUCCUUCAAAAUGCAAGAGAGAAGUCAUUUGAAAAUGAACCCCAAAAACCUUAUUUAUAACCCAAGGGAGGGUGGAGAUUUUGACAUAUGUCAUCAUCUCCACCAAGGCUCUCCUUCUUCAAAACUAAAACCAAAUUAAAGGGAGGCCCUUAAUGCAGGUUUAGGCCCACAAAGAACAUCUAAAACUAGUCCUAGAAAAUAUGAAAAAGGAAAUGGCCUAAAACAAAAGUAAGAAAUGGGCUUAGGACAAUUUUUAGGGUUUAUAAAUAUGUCCAUCUUUGGUAGAGUUCACAAGUAUAAGGAAUGUGAACAUUGGAGUAAAAUUAAAGUGUGAAUAAUGAGUAAAAUGAAGUAAAUUAUACCGAAGAACAAGAAAGACCACCAAAAUUGGCAUAACACAACUUACGCUUGCUUAAACCAAAACAAACCAAGGAAAGAAGACUCCUAGGGUGCCACUAAAGUUACACUGCAGGUUUGAGACUCCCUACAAAAGACCUUUAAAAGUGAUUUGAACAUUAGUGUCAAAGUUGAGUAGUAGUUUAACCACCAAGGAAUACAAGAACAAAAAUGAAAAAAAAAAAAUGUCUACACAUGUACUAUGUGAAGACACAAAGUGAGGGGCAUCAAACAAUGCAAUCAAACUUGCACUAUGAGCUCAAAGGGUUGCAUCGCAUGCAAUGGAGGAAAAGAAUCUUAGAAAUAGUAUGAUGAAAAGGUGAAUGCAAAUGUGAUGAACAGCUCCAACUAGGGAUGAAUGAAUGGACAACUUAGGGUCGUUGAUGCAAUAAACAACUCUAGGCUAUAUGAAUAGAUCGGGGCUAUGAAUGAGAUGAGCAAAUUAAGGAUUAUGAACUUUAGGCUCUGAAAUGGGCUAAAGGGAUGUUUCAGUUUGCGACAUUGAGUUGUCACUAAAAGGUGACUAAAAUGAUGAAAAACUUGAGGCUAUGAUGCAAUGAACAACUUGAGGUUAUGAUGCAAUGAAAAACUUAGGGUUGUGUUACAAUGAGCAACUUAGGGUUGUGUUAUAAUGAACAACUUGGAGUUAUGAUGCAAUAAACAACUUAGAGUUGUGAGCUCUGGACUUUGAAAGAUUAGUCAAAAAGGAGAUUGUGGUUCAUCAAAUUCAAGUGAAACCACUCAAAGGGUAAUUGAAAUGAUGAAAAGCUCAAGGUUAUAAUGUAAUGAAUAACUCAAGACUACGAUUAAUGAAUAACUCAAGGUUGUGAUGCAAUGAAUAGCUCAGGGUGUUGUGAGCUUUGAGCUCUGAAAGAUUGAUCAAAAUGGAGAUCGUGGUUCGCAACUCCAAGUCAAACCACUCAAGGAUGAUUGAAAUGAUGAAAAGCUCAAGGCUAUGAUGUAAUGAACAACUAAUGGUUUUGUUUGUGAUGGGACAAAUAAAGAAAAAUAGAGAAAAUGAUAUACUAUUUGGUGUGUCCUAGUUAGCCAAAUAGGUGAGAAUGCAUUUGACUACAUCUAUGGUUAUCAUAUUAAGUAAAACUCAAUAUCGUGUUAAGUUUUAAAACAAAAAAAAUAAAAAAUAAAUAAAUACAUUUGACAAGUAGUAAACAAAAAUAGUUUUCUUUACUUAAAGAUAAUUUUCUUUUCUUAAAAACAAAAAAUAGAAAGAUAAUUAUGCAAAUAUGAAGAAUGAUUAAAAAUAAAAUACUAGUAUAAAAGUUAUUUUUGAAACAUAUUUCAAAAUAAAGAAAAUAGGUUAAAAAUAUUUCAUUUUCCGAAAUAGUUUUGUUCUAUAAAACAUUAAAAAAUAGUUUUAAAAAAGUAUUCUCAAAAAUUGUUUUUGAAAAUACUUCCCAAACAAGGCCUUAAUUUAUGUUUUCUUUGUUAUUAAUAAGUGACAUUUAUACCUUUCACUAUUACUUGAUGUUGUAGUUGUCUAUAUAUAUAUGUGUGUGUGCGUGCACACACGUGCGAGCAUCUUAAAAUUAUAUCUCUCUCAAUUUUGUGAACAAGUUUUUAUUGAUGACCUUUCUUGUGUCUUUUUAUUAAUUUUAUGGUGCUUAAUUUUUUGCAUUUAAAUAAGUGAUUAAUUUUUUGUCUAAGGGAGAGUACAUAGGAUUCACUCCUUCAGUUUUAAUUGUCAAACACUAAGUUUCAACCAUAGCCUUUGUUUUAUGGAAGAAAGCUAAUGGAUGUAUUUUGAUUUAUUGGAGGUUUUGGGUCUUUUUGACUCAAAAUAUCUCAAAUAAUGCUCUUACUACUGAGAUUCACAAGAGAAGGAAAUGUAAGGAGCUUAGUGGAAAACUAAUUGGCAAAGUUGUAGUCUUAGUGUACUUUUGGAAUGUAUUAAUUGAGAACUUAUUGAAAAUCAACCAACUAGGAAUACCCUUUGUUUGAUUGAUGAACUAAGGAAAAAAAUUACAAAGAUUUUCUUUAUAUUAGUAAUAAUAGCUCAGUUCACAUCUUGUCUUCUUGAGUUUUAUACACAUAUAUAGGUGUAACUAGAAAUUCUGGAAUUAGUUAUCUCUGCUAACUAAUCACAAAGUUAGUUGAAACUAACUAAACUAAUUAACCACUUGUUUCAACUCACCCCCUCAAGCAAUGUUAUGCCUUGGCAACUAUCAUCUUGUCAUAAAGUAGUUCAAACCAAGUAGUGGUUAAGGGCUUAGUCAAUGGAUCUACAAGUUGUUCUUCCAUUGGCAUGUACCUUACAUCCAACUCUUAUGCAAUUACUUUUUCUCUCACAAAAUGAAUGUCAAUCUCUAUGUGUUUUGUUUUUGCAUGAAACAUAGGAUUUGAAGCUAAAGAUCCUAUUCCAAUGUUAUCACACCACAAUAUAGGACUAUGCAUAGUUUUGACUCCAAGUUCAGCAAAUAAGCUUUGUAGCCAAACUAUUUCAAUAGCAGCUUGAGCUAAAGCUCAAUACUCACUCUUAGUACUUGACCUUGCUACAACCUUUUGCUUUCAAGAACUUCAUUGAAUCAAAUUUCCUCCAAGAAAAAUACAAUAACCACUGGUAAACCACCUAUCAUCAAUGUUACUAGCCCAAUUUGCAUUAGUGGAUCCUUCAAGGACCAAAGCUUUUGUUGGUUGAAAUUUCAAGUCAUAUCCAAUUGUGCCUCUUAGAUGCCUCAAUACUCUUUUGUAGGCAUGUUAUUGUUAAACUGUAGGUACAUGAAGAAUUUGACUAAGUUUGUUUACAACAAAAGAUAUAAUAGGUCAAGUCAUAGUCAGAUAUUGAAGUUUUUCCCAAUUACACUCUGAUAUAGGGAGGGUUGCUCAAAUAAUUUGUUGUCAUUUGUUAGCUUUUUCCAUCAUAGUCUUUUCCAAAAUAUCCAAAAUAUACUUUGUUUGGGUUAAGUAAAGACUAGUUUGAUCUUUAUAUGUCUCAAAUCCUUUCCAAAGUCUUUAAUGCAAAAUUUUCAUUUAAAUCCUUCAUUACUUAUUGAAUCAAAUCAAUAUCAUCACUAAGUUAUCAAAAUGUCAUCUACAUAGACCAACAAGAGUAGUAAUUUGCUUGCAAAUUUAUGUAUGAAAAAACUUAUAUCAAAUUUUGAAUUUUCAAAACCCCAAUCCAAUAAAACAGUUUUAAGCUUGUCAAACCAAGCCCUUGGAGCUUGUUUUAGACCAUAUAGAGCCUUGUGUAGCUUGCAAACAUGGUGUGGAGCAUGUUGAUCAAUAAAACCAAUAGAUUGAGUCAUGUACACAAUUUCUUGUAGGUCUCUUUUUAAAAAUGCAUUGUUGAUAUUAAUUUGCUGAAUAUACCAACCUUUUGUAACAACAAUGGUAAGCACUGACGAAUGGUUGAUGAUUUGAUAAUAGGAAUAAAGGCAUCAAAGUAAUCAAGCCCUGCUAUUUGUAGGAUUAUAUUUUACUCGAAAAAUCCAUUUGUUAUCCAUAGUUUUUAUAUCUUCUAUAUAAGGCACUAAGUUCCAUGUGUUAUUUGACAAAAGGGCAUUAUAUUCAUCAUCCAUUGCCUUUUUCUUGUUUAAAUCCAAUAGAGCUUGUUCCACACUAGUAGGUUCAACAACCAGAGCAUUUAAUUUUUGUUUGGCAAAGAAGAUCUUUGGUUUGAAAAUUCCAAACUUGGAUCUAGUUUGCAUAGGAUGAGUAUUCUGAAUAGAUGAAGAAUUAGAUUUUACAAUUUGAUUCUCAUCAUUAACUUGAUUCUCAUAUUAUAAAAUAUUGGGAUCCUCAAUAGUAUUAGUUUUAGCAAGUUGUAACGCUCUAUUUUCAAUAGAUGCACUAGCCAAAGAUGAUUAUGAAACUAUUGUUUUAGAUAAAAUAACUAUAAUAGAAGUCAAAGAAUCAUUUGGUGAAGGAACAUGCCAUAUACUAAAGAUAGUGGAUCCAUUUAUGGUAGUAAAAACGAAAUCAGUAGUACCAAACCUUUUAACUUGAAAGCUAGUGGCAAAAGGGAAACAAUCUUCAUCAAACGAGACACUCUUGGCUAUAUAAAUUUGACUUGAAGAACUAAAACAACAAUACCCUUUAUGCACCAAGUUGUAACCAAGGAAAAUGCACUUGGUAGUACGAAAGGCAAACUUGUGUUUAUUAUAAGGCCUUAGAUGAGGAAAGCAAGCACAAUCAAAAACCCUUAGAAGCUUUGAAUUUGGUUUUGUAUGAUAAAGAGACUCAAAAGGAGAAGUAUGAUUAAGAACUUGGGUGUGCAAUUUAUUUAUCAAAAAUACUAUAGUCACAACAGCAUCCCACUAGAAAUAGAGAUGCAUGUGUGCUUGUGCCAAGAGUGUUAAUCCAACCUCAACUAUGUGUCUAUGCUUUUGUUCUACUUUUCCAUUUUGUUGAUGAGUAUGAGGACAUGGAUGUCUGAAAACCACACCUUGUUAAGCUAGAAUAGGCAAAAGAGGCCUAUAUUCACCUCCCCAAUAAGUUUGAAGAUAUUUUAAUUUUCUAUUGAAUUGUCUUUCUACAAAGCUUUGAAAUUGCAGAAAAAUACCUUUUGUUUCAGAUUUUAACUUCAUUGGAAAUAUCCAUGUAUAGCGAGUAAAAUGUCCACAAAGUGAAUGUAAUAUCGAUAACCUUUUGUAGACAAAAUAGGUGAAGGUCCCCAAAUGCCAAAAUAUACUAUUUCUAAUAGAGUAGAAGUACUUUUAUUUAAUGAGUUCAAAAAAUUUGUUUGACAAGCUUUUCCAUACUAAUAAGAAGUACAAAAUCGAAGGUACUCAUUUCUUAGAGGUAGAUUUAAAUUCCUGAGUACUUUAUUUAACACUUGAGCAUGAGGAUGACUAAGCUUGCUAUGCCUAGUGUUCACAAUUUUGAUACAAACCUCAUUAGAUCUGACCUAUGCUAGAGAAACAAAAGGAAAACUAGAACCAGAAUGUGAGAUAGAUUUUGAACUUCGUGAGAGCAUUGGAACAUCAUAAAGCCCUCUUUUAAGCUUGCCCUACAUCAAAAUCUUCCUUGUCUUCUUGUCCUUAACAAAACAAUAAUCAUUAUAGAAUUCAACAACGACAUUGUUGUGCUUGGUGAAUUUAGAUAUGCUUAAUAAUGUAAUUACAGGCGCAUGUAAGAUAUCAUUAAGAUAUAAUGAUUGUGAUAAAAAAAUUUAUGAUAUAGUUGAAGAACCAAUAUGAAAAAUCUUUAAAGAAUUACCAUUUCCAACAACAAGUUUUUCCUUGCCUUUAUAGCUUGUCUUGAGAAUUAGCUUAUUGAGAUCAGCAGAAAUGUGAUUUGUGGCCUUUGUAACCACUUACUAGUUAGGGUCAUUGACAAUGGCUAGCAUGGCAAAGUAAGCUUGAGCAUUGUCUUGUAAAUGGGUGCCUUGAGAUGGAGCAAAAUUUUCAUAUUGUGGUUGUCCUUGUGGUCCUAUGAAGCUAAUGUCCAAACAAUAAUAACAUUUUAGUGAAAUAUUACCAUCUUUGCCACAUAAUUGACAGACAGACUUGUUUUGGCUUCCUCUUCCUCGACCACAACAAAAAGGACUAUUGUUAGGAGCCCUAGAAAAUUGAUAGUUGUUUCUUUUGUGACCUUGUUUGAUAACAAGAUUUGUAGAGGGACCAAUAUGGAUAUUUGAAACAAAGUUGAGUUUUUGAAGUCUCAUCUCAUAGUUUUGAAAGAGGAAUUAAGCUUCUCCAAGAGAAACAAAAUAUUUCCUCAACCAAAGAUUGACAAUUACAACAUCAAAUUCAUAACUUAAACCACCAAAAAUGUGCAUCAACAAUUGAUCAUCGAUGAUAGGUACACUAAUUGCAAACAGAGUAUCUACAAUUUCCUUCAUUUGAAGAAAAUAAUCAGCUAUGCUUAGGGAGCCUUUUGAAGCUUCUUAUGACUUAUUUAGAAGAUGUUGCACCUGAGAUUUGGGGUUGAUGAAGAACAAUUGAUCGAAAGCACUCCACACUUAAGCAACAAUUUUACAUCAAACAAUAUGGCCAAACAUCGAUUCCGAAAAAAGAAGAAAAAAUCCAACUCAGGAUGGAUUGGUCUAUUCUAUUCUAGAUUAAAAAUUUUGGGUUGAUUAUAGAAGAAUUGUCAUCUCUAUUUGAGAUGAAACAAGGACACACUAUUGUUCUAAGCAAAUAUCCUUCAAGAUCGAGAGCUCAAACAGUCAUAAGAACUUGUGAACACUAGAAUCCAUAGUUAUUUCUUGUGAGUUUCAAAGAUAGUUGAGGAAGGGUAGAUAAGAAUGUCAGUGAAGCGGCCACCGUCAAUGUUGCUCUACUUGUGCAAGAAAUGCUUGAUGAAGAGAGACUAGUUGCAAUUUAAGCCAUAGAUGCAAGUCUUUAUGGCUCUAAUACCAUGUUUGAUUGAUGAACUAAGGAAAAAAUUAUAGAGAGUUUUCUGUGUAUUAGUAAUAGUAGCUUAGUUCACAUCUUGUCUUCUUGAGUUGUAUACAUAUAUAUAGGUGUAACUAGAAAAUUCUGGAAUUAGUUAGCUCUACUAACUAAUUACAGAGUUAGAUAAAACUAAUUGAACUAAUUUACCACUUGUUUCAACUCCCUUUGGUAAUCUAACCUAUAGAUGUUUCUAGGCACAAGUUAAGUGUGUGAGGACUGAAUUCAUGGGACCCACAAUCCUUGGCUAAUUAGAAGUUCUUUUAAUAUUUUAUAAAUUUCGAGUUAAUUUCACCAAAUUUGAGUAGCCCUUAUUUUCAAACAAUUUCCAUACCCAAAAUAGAAGGCAAAAAUGAAACUAAGGUCACAUUUGAACAUGUUUUCUAAUACUUGUUUAUAAAAACGGUUUUUAAGUUAAAAAAAAAAAAUUCUUUUAGUGUUUUACAAAAAUAAAGGUAUUUGACAAGUUAUUUUUAAAAAACAAUUUUUAAAAAUAAAAAAUAAAAAACUUGUUUGAAUAAAUUGAUUUCAAAAUUAUUUUUUAUUUUGUAAAAAUAUUGUAAAUUUGAUUUAUAUAAUAUUAUUAAAUUUAAUUCAAGUCUUAUUAAAGAUAAAAAUAUUUUUUGUAAUUACAAAUAAACUAAAAUAAAUAAAUAGUUUUUAGUAAAACAUGAAUAGUAAUAUUAUAAUAAAAUCAUAAAUUAUAUUUUUUUUAAAUCAUAAAUUAUAUUUUUUUAUAAAAAAAAUGCUAUUUUAUUAUAUGUUAGAAACAUAAGGAUAUUAACAUCUUUUUAAUUUUUUGUUAAAAAUAAAUAAUAAUAAUAAAUUAUUUUAAAAUAAUAAUUGUCAAUAGUAUUUUAUUUAAAAUGAAUAAUGAAUAAAGUUUAAUUUUUUUUACAUGUAAAUAAGCCCAAGUUUUUAUUACAUAUACACAUUUAGUACUCGAUUAUGAACAUAAUAUUUUAUAAUGUUUUGAUUUAAUUUGUAAUCAAUUGGAUUGAUUUUUUAUUCUAAAUUAUUCUUAAAAAUUAAAAGAUUCAUUAAAAAAAUUUAAAUUAUUACUUAUAUCUUAAUUAUAAUUUAUUUACCUAGAGUCAUUAUAAACCAAUUUUUAUUUAUAAAUUUAUGGCAUUAAUGAGUUUAUUAUUUUAGUUUCAAAUUAUUUUUAAAAAAUACUAGACUUAUUACCGAAUCCAACACGUUAGGCCUUGUAUAAUUUGGAGUUUAUUUGCCUAGUGAAAAAAAUUUGGAAUACAAUGAUUCUAUGUAGAAAAGAAACAAUAGAGUUCUAAACUAAUUUUUGUCCAUAAAUUUCUAAUAUUAAUUAGAUCAUUGUUUGAAUUUUAAGUUAUUUUUAAAAAUUACUAAACUCAUUAAUGGAUCCAAUGCAUUAAGUCUUGCUUAACUUAGAUUUCAUUUGCCUAAUGAAAAAUAAAAUAAAAUAAUGAUUAUAUGUAGAAGAGAAAAUAGUUGUUUUAUACUAAUUUUUGUCCAUAAAUUUCUAGUAUUAAUUAAGUCACUAUUUGAGUUUUACACUAUUUGAGUUUAAGUUAUUUUUAGAAAUUACUAGACUCGUUAAUGAAUUUAACGCAUUAAGUCUUACUUAAUUUGGAGUUUAUUUGCCUAGUGGAAAAUUUUGUAUAUAUAUAUAACUAUCCAAGUCAUUUAAAAUAAGUUUUGGUUUAUGACUUUCUAACGUUAUUGAGUUACGUGACUUUUUAGUAUGAGUUAAAUUAGUUUUUUUAUUUUAAAAUUAUUUUUAAAAAUUAAUAAAAUUUAUAUAUCAAAUAUAAUUUGAUUUGGAAUUUAUUAUUUUAAUGAAAAAUUUUAGAGAAGCAAAAAGAAUAUAGAAAAAACAAGUGUAAUAAAAGGAAAAUCGUAUUUGAAGAUUUUCAGUAUCAAUAUUAGAUUGUGGAGAAAGAAAAAGAAUAACAUCAUAUUCAAUUUUAUUUAUUUUUAUGGUUUUUUUUUUAAUUUCUCUAUGUUUUUCUUUUGUUUUUAAAAAUUGACCCAUAGAGAGAGAAAAAGAAAGAUAUCAUAUUCAAUUUUGUUGUUUUUCUAAAUUGAAUUUUAUUUAUUCAAUUCAUAGUUCAAUUAUUUACAUUGUGACCAUUUGUGACACCCUGAACCUAAAGGUUGAAGGCACUACAGUAAUUUCAUAUAUCAAAUCGAAACAAAAACUAAAAUAAAAUAUUUAAACCAUAAAUUCAAUGAUUCUCCUAGACAAAUAAAAAUUCUAAAAAAUAAUAUUGAAUUCAGUGUUAAGUAAACCAUCCUAAAAAAAAAAAAAAAACAAAUCAAUUCUGAAGUAGUUUCUAAAUCUCUCCCCACCAAUGUCACUUGUACUUGAAAAAAGGAAUGAAGAAAAGUGAACUUGACAGUUCAAUAAAGAAAAAUAAUUCAAUAAGAAGGAUUAAGUAUAGUAUCCAAUUAAAUCUAGGGAGAUAUCAUUUUUAUUUUUAUUUUUUUACAAAAAUCAAUUUGCAAGUAAGUUUUUCCAAGUCAACAAUUAAAUUCAUUUUCUUUGAAAUAUUUAACAUUUUCAAUUCAAAGAUAAAAUAACAUAAUACACUUUGAAUAAUCAUAUCAUAUUCAAAAGAAUUUCACAAGCAAACAUUUUACUCUAAUCCAUAAUCAUAUUAUGGAACUUGCACUAAGUGGCUAACCUUAAAAUGUUCCUCUUACUGGUGGACGGAACAAUUUCCAAUCAAUGGUAUACCAAAGGCCAAUAAUACCCUUAUUGGCUAGGGUUGCAUUGCAUCAUUACCCCUUAAAAACCUAUGUUCCAAUAGGGUAACACCUAGAGGGGUGUGAUUAGGUGUUUGUUAAAGAAUAUAAUUUAUGGAUUGAAACUCUUAACCCAAAUAAUACACAAAGUGGGAAUUAAGCCUUAUUGAAACAAGUAAGUCUUGUAGGAUAUUAUGAAUAGGCAAUAGAACACAUCCACACAAGAAACAAACAAUUUUACGUAGAAAACCUUCACACCAACUAUGAAAAUAAAAAACCACGAAGUUUAGGAUAUCAAAUCUAAUAAUUCACUAUAUGAGAUCAAUAUACACAGGCUUACUUGGCCGUUUAUCCUAAAGACUAACUCUCCAGUACCUAUAUCAUGAUCCACAUCCACAAUGCUGCACUGUCCAUACUACAGUGGAUUUGCCUUAGCCUCUAAGGGGUGCAAGUCUUUCCAACCUCCAUGAGCUUUGAGAGUUUGAGGAAUGAUUGGAAAAAUUAGGUUUUCUCUCAUGGAAGUAUCCAACCCCUAAAACAAGCAUAGAAAGGGUAUAUAUAAGUCGAAGAGCCUAAAGGGUCAAAAACAAAAUUUUCUUUAAAAAAUAAAAUCUCAACUUUUCAAAAAUUAAUUAAAACAUCUUACCUCAAAUUUUUAAAAGGGAUUCAAUCCAUACCCCUUUCACAUAAUGAUUUGUCUUUUACAAACCUUUUUAGAGUUACCUAUGACAAUUCAAUUAAAUGAACAAUAACCUCGAAUUUUCAUUAGAGAGUAAGUCACUGUCUAAAAAGGUUCCUAUGCUAAAAUGAAAAUGAACAAAAUUGCCAACAAACAAAAUGGAAAUGUAAUGCCUUAACAACCCCCAUCAAGGUUAAUGAAAAUCAAUAGCUUAUUCCCUGUGUCCAAGGCCACUAAUAACAAGAGUUUCAAAAUCAUUAUAAUAAAUUAAAUAAUAAAAUUCACUUGUAAAACAAUAAAUAAAUCAUAUGAUAUUCCCAAUUUAUUUAAUGAACUAAGAAACAAAUCACAAUAUAUUUCAAAAAAAAAAUAUUACUUGAUCUACUUUAGAAAAUUCAAACAUUUUUUAUACUUCCAAAAACAUAUAAGAAAAUAAAUAAGGAAUUAUAAAAUGAUUUGCUGCCCUCGAAGAAGUCACUCAAAAUUUCAAUAUUUUGGGAUGAGAAGGUUAAUGUUGUUUGAGUUGAUUAUUAGUUGAAUUUUAGGGUUGUUCUGUGAUACCUAUAGUAGGAAGCUUUAAGGUGUUAAAGGUCCCCUAAAGAAAGGAAGAUGAACAUUUUGAGAAUUUCAAUAAAUGUAAAAAAGAAAAUACUAGUUAAAAACAUAGGAGGAAAAGUUACAAAAGUGGUUCAUAGUGUUGGUACACAAACAUAAGAUAAAAGAGAAGUAGGUGUGCAAUUGUGGAUGCACAGAGUGUUUUAACCAUAGAGAUGCAUGGUUGUGGGGCAUUUGUUAAAUUAAAGGAGAAGAGGUACAUAAUUUAUAAUGUGCUUGGAUGGGUGCACAAAGUGUUUUAGCCAUAGUGAUGUGUGGUUGUUGUGCCUUGGUUAAAUCAAAGGAGAAUGUGUGCUCAAUUUGUAGUGUGCUUGGAUGAAGAGCAUGGAUUGGGAAGUAUAUAAUUUGAGUGGUAACUAGUGGUGCUCAAGUUUAAAAAUUUUUAAUCAUUCUAUAUAUUUGUAUAGUUAUUUUUUAAAACAAUCCUCAUAAAACAACUAAAACAUGUUAUAUCAUGCUUUUUUUUUUUUAAGAACUAAAAACAUAAAAUAAUUUUCUGGUUGUCAAAUGUUUUUUUUUUUUUUUUUAAAGAAUAGAAAACUAUUCUUAAAAAUAACUGUCAAACAAGACCUCAUAUUUUGAUCUUAUUUAUUUAUAUAUUUAUCCAUACCUUUUGGGUAAGUAAGAAGAAGCAUCCUCAUCCAAUGCUCUCACAUGGACGCCUCUAGGUUCCUAUAGUUUGAAAUUGAAUUUCAUUUGCUUGCCUUGCACUCUUAUAUUUUGAUCUUAUUUAUUUGCAUAUUUAUUUGAUGGUCUAAAUUCAUCACACGUCUAAUAAAGCAUGUGAAGGAUUUGGUAAACACCGAUAUCAACACUUAAUAAAUUAAGAGUUCAUUUGACAAUAAUUCUAAAAGUGUUUUUAGCCUAAAAAAAAUAUUACAUAAGGUGUUUGACAAAAUUUAGGAAACACUUUAAAAAUUUUGAUAAAUCACUUAUAAUGUUAAAAAAUUACUUUUAAUAUGUUUUGGAGAAACAUUUGGUACGUGAUUCUUCUAACAACAUUUUUUAAGAAAACACUUCUACUAAAAACAAUCUUUAGCGCACCUAAGAUUGAAAUUACCACACGGGCUUCUUCUUCAAUCUUGAGCAAAUCUCUUCAAACCCUUAGCUCUAAUUGCUCUAUAGAAGGACCAAAAUAUUUUUUUUUUAUUUUUUUUACAAAGGAUUGUAGUUUGCACACAUGCAAAUAUAUAAUAAUAGAAAAAUAAUUCAUAAAUCAUUUUCGUUACAUGAUAAAAGAUUAUUUGUUACUUGAAGAUGUCCUCGAUGACAUGAAUGAGCGUUUCAAUAAUGCCGGCUAGAAAUCAUCCAAAGUUUUCCAAUAAGUUAGGAAGAAGCGGCUAAGUUAAACUUCGAGUGCGUGCUGGUUGAUCAAGACGGGUUGUUAAGAUCUAUGCAAGUUGGUGACUUCUCAGCUCUAGCUUCCGUCUCUAUCUGACUAGCAUGAGAUACUGCCAUACUGGUAAGAAAUUUUGUAUAUCACGAGAUCCAUUGACUCAGUCUUCCCUCCCAAGUCUCAGAUGGAUCUCAUCAACAUAAGGCGGCUAACACCCAUAGGAAGUUUCCCAUACCAAAAUCAGCUCUCAUCCUGAAACAGAAAGAAGUAAGCAGGAAUGAUGGUGCGACUUAUGCUAGUAGGUUUGCUGCUAUUGGCUUCAGCUGCAGCUGCUGCUGCAACAGUUGGUCAAGCCAAGGAAGGUUGCCUAGACAAAUGUGGAGAUGUUAGCAUCCCAUAUCCGUUUGGUACUAAUGAAGAGCAGUGUUACCUCAGCCCUUAUUUCCUAGUUACUUGUAACCAUUCCUCCAACCCUCCCAAACUGCUAUUAGGCAAACCAUCUCCAGAGGGAAACAAUGUCCAAGUGCUGGAUAUUUCGCUGGAGGGUGAGUUGCUCAUCUUGAACUACGUAAGCCAUGAUUGUUACAAUAGGUCCGGUGGGCUUGACUCCCUCUAUUCUUACGGUUCCCAUCUGACGCCGGGCCAAUUCAACAUCUCGAGUACCAGAAACAAGUUCACUAUGGUUGGUUGCGACACUUAUGCCUGGUUUAGAGGUCAAAGAGGUGAGGAAAGCUACAGAACUGGGUGCAUGUCAUUAUGUGACAACAUCACAGCUGUACGAAAUGGAUCUUGCUCUGGAAAUGGUUGUUGCCAGACCUCCAUCCCUGAUGAAUUAUCAGAUAUACGUUUGACAUUGGGCACCUUCAAUAAUUAUUCUGAAAUCUGGGAAUUCAAUCCCUGCGGCUAUGCCUUUAUUGUGGAAGAAUCUCACUUCACUUUCUCCUCCGACGAUCUAAAAGAUUUGAAGGGCAUAGAGAAGCUUCCUAUGGUAUUUGAUUGGGCAUUUGGCAAGGAAACAUGUCAAGUAGAAGAUGAAAACAGCCAGACCAAUUACGCAUGCAAGGGGAACAGCAGCUGCAAUAAGAGGAAAACGGGUUGGGGCUAUCUUUGCAACUGCUCAGAGGGUUACCAAGGGAACCCAUACCUGGAGUCUGGUUGCCAAGGUACUUGAAUUUAUAUUUCGAGUUGUCCAAUGUAUCUUCACACUAGGCUUCAUUCUUUUCCUUUUUGAUUUCACAGAUAUAAAUGAAUGUGAGAAUUCCAUCCUCAACAAGUGUGAAAAUCCAGAAACAUGCGUCAAUACCCAAGGAAAUUAUACUUGUUCUUGCCCCAUGUGGUACCAGGGAGAUGGCAAAAUCGAUGGUCAACGCUGUAUUCCCAAUCGCUUGCAAAUGAUUCACGCUGCCAUGGGUCAGUGCACUUACUAUUUACUAAUAAUUCUAUCUCAGCCCAUAUGAUAGCAAGACUUUUUGUGAUUGAGUAAUUUCAAUCAUAAAAGACUACAGUAAAAAACAUUAGAAUAAUUGUCUCUUAUGAUCAUUAUGUAAAGAUGACUGGGUUAUGAAAAUGAUAAUUGACUUUCAAUUUAUUUUUAUUAAUUUAGGCAUUGGAAUUGCCUUGCUCGUAUUAUUGGUGAGCAGCACUUGGCUGUUUUGGGCUUUGAAGAAAAGAAGGUUCAUCAAACUCAAAAAGAAAUAUUUUCAACAAAAUGGUGGUUCAGAGCUACGACAACUCUCCAGGCAAGGAUCUACCGCAAGAAUUAAAAUUUUUACCUUUGAAGAGCUUGAGAAAGCCACCAAAAAAUAUGAUGAGAGCAAUAUCAUCGGCCGAGGAGGUUUUGGCACAGUUUAUAAAGGAACUUUAACCGAUGGUAGGAUUGUUGCAAUUAAGAAGUCCAAGAUGGUGGAACAAAGCCAAGGUAAAGACUUCAUAAAUGAGGUGGGUAUUCUAUCUCAAAUAAACCAUCGUCAUGUGAUACAACUCUUGGGUUGCUGUUUGGAAACACAAGUGCCUUUACUAGUCUAUGAGUUCAUCAACAAUGGCACCCUCUCCGACCACAUACAUAAUGAAAAUAAGGCAUCUGCUAUCAUGUGGGAAACUCGUUUAAGGAUUGCCAUCCAAACCGCAGAAGC
This 22644-nucleotide long non-coding RNA is filed under the name Vitis vinifera (wine grape). Its description in RNAcentral is "long non-coding RNA (VVIN_LNC006232)". The record is from RNAcentral. Lineage: Eukaryota; Viridiplantae; Streptophyta; Magnoliopsida; Vitales; Vitaceae.